Molecule: ribosomal RNA, 379 nt
Filed under: uncultured bacterium
Lineage: Bacteria
Description: bacterial SSU rRNA
Rfam family: Bacterial small subunit ribosomal RNA
Source: RNAcentral
AUCAACGCUGGCGGCGUGCCUAACACAUGCAAGUCGAACGCGAAAGCCCCGCAAGGGGUAAGUAGAGUGGCAAACGGGUGAGUAACACGUGGGUGACCUGCCUUCGAGUGGGGGAUAACGUCCCGAAAGGGACGCUAAUACCGCAUAAUAUGCCGCCUUUGAAGAGGUGGACAUCAAAGCUGGGGAUCGCAAGACCUAGCGCUGGAAGAGGGGCCCGCGCCCGAUUAGCUAGUUGGUGAGGUAAUGGCUCACCAAGGCUACGAUCGGUAGCCGGCCUGAGAGGGCGGACGGCCACACUGGGACUGAGACACGGCCCAGACUCCUACGGGAGCAGCAGUGGGGAAUUGUUCGCAAUGGGCGCAAGCCUGACGACGCAACG